CAGCAGCAGCCACGGUAAUACCGAGGGUGCAAGCGUUAAUCGGAAUUACUGGGCGUAAAGCGCGCGUAGGUGGUUUGUUAAGUUGGAUGUGAAAUCCCCGGGCUCAACCUGGGAACUGCAUCCAAAACUGGCAAGCUAGAGUAUGGUAGAGGGUGGUGGAAUUUCCUGUGUAGCGGUGAAAUGCGUAGAUAUAGGAAGGAACACCAGUGGCGAAGGCGACCACCUGGACUGAUACUGACACUGAGGUGCGAAAGCGUGGGGAGCAAACAGGAUUAGAUACCCCCGUAGUCCCUGUCUCUUAUAC
Molecule: ribosomal RNA, 304 nt
Filed under: uncultured bacterium
Lineage: Bacteria
Description: partial 16S ribosomal RNA
Rfam family: Bacterial small subunit ribosomal RNA
Source: RNAcentral